Molecule: ribosomal RNA, 713 nt
Filed under: bacterium enrichment culture clone D29
Lineage: Bacteria
Description: bacterial SSU rRNA
Rfam family: Bacterial small subunit ribosomal RNA
Source: RNAcentral
GAGUUUGAUCCUGGCUCAGAUUGAACGCUGGCGGCAUGCUUUACACAUGCAAGUCGAACGGUAACAGGUCUUCGGAUGCUGACGAGUGGCGAACGGGUGAGUAAUACAUCGGAACGUGCCUAGUAGUGGGGGAUAACUACUCGAAAGAGUAGCUAAUACCGCAUGAGAUCUACGGAUGAAAGCAGGGGACCUUCGGGCCUUGUGCUACUAGAGCGGCUGAUGGCAGAUUAGGUAGUUGGUGGGGUAAAGGCUUACCAAGCCUGCGAUCUGUAGCUGGUCUGAGAGGACGACCAGCCACACUGGGACUGAGACACGGCCCAGACUCCUACGGGAGGCAGCAGUGGGGAAUUUUGGACAAUGGGCGAAAGCCUGAUCCAGCAAUGCCGCGUGCAGGAUGAAGGCCCUCGGGUUGUAAACUGCUUUUGUACGGAACGAAAAGCCUGGGGCUAAUAUCCCCGGGUCAUGACGGUACCGUAAGAAUAAGCACCGGCUAACUACGUGCCAGCAGCCGCGGUAAUACGUAGGGUGCAAGCGUUAAUCGGAAUUACUGGGCGUAAAGCGUGCGCAGGCGGUUUUGUAAGACAGUGGUGAAAUCCCCGGGCUCAACCUGGGAACUGCCAUUGUGACUGCAAGGCUAGAGUGCGGCAGAGGGGGAUGGAAUUCCGCGUGUAGCAGUGAAAUGCGUAGAUAUGCGGAGGAACACCGAUGGCGAA